UUUGCCUCUUUUAAAAAGUUCUAAGUUGCUAGCCAGUCAAGACAAAUACAGAAUGUGAAGUCCUGUUCCAACCAAGGGAAAUCGGACACAGCAAUAAGGAAUACAACAUGUUUAAGACCACAGAACAUCUGCAUAGGCUGUAAAUUUCGUUGAAUGAUGGAUGCAAAGAUGGAAGACAGAUGGAUAGAGGAAAAGACAGAAUCAGAUACUGGAUGAGUUAGUACUGCUGCCUGUGCUUCAGAGCUGUCUUAUUACCACAAGGCCGGCAAGCAUCAAUGUCCCCACAUCCCCCUCUGCCUCCCCCUGAAAUGUACCGAUUUAUAUGAAAAUUAAGAUUACAAAUUAAAGCCUGGCUAUCCUGGAGUUUUCCAGUUCAUCAGCCAUCCAAUAAAAAUGAUGUCAAGCCUGUAUGCAUAAUUCCCGGAAGAUUACUUUCGUCCUUACAGCUAAGCCCUGUCCCUGAUAUGAAAGAUCUCUAUCCACUUUUAUUGAAAUAAAGAACUAACAUCAUAAUCCCAAUAUUGAGGUAUAAUCUUCAUUAUCUCCUGACCCUCUUGAGGUUCCCCCAAUCUAUAUUACUUCAGAUUUGGUUUAUGUGUAAUCCUUAUGUAUUUACUUUUAUUGAGAUAGGAUUAAAAACUAAAAAAAAAGCUUCAA
RNAcentral lists this long non-coding RNA (657 nucleotides) under Homo sapiens (human). RNAcentral's name for it is "HSALNT0074149". Lineage: Eukaryota; Metazoa; Chordata; Mammalia; Primates; Hominidae. The record is from RNAcentral.